Molecule: ribosomal RNA, 465 nt
Filed under: uncultured bacterium
Lineage: Bacteria
Description: partial 16S ribosomal RNA
Rfam family: Bacterial small subunit ribosomal RNA
Source: RNAcentral
CCUACGGUAGGCAGCAGUAGGGAAUAUUGCGCAAUGGGCGAAAGCCUGACGCAGCGACGCCGCGUGAGGGAUGAAGGUCUUCGGAACGUAAACCUCUGUCAGCAGGGAAGAACGGUCACUGUGCUAAUCAGGAGUGAAUUGACGGUACCUGCAAAGGAAGCACCGGCUAACUCCGGGCCAGCAGCCGCGGUAAUACGGAGGGUGCGAGCGUUAAUCGGAAGUACUGGGCGUAAAGCGGUCGUAGGCGGUAUGUCAAGUCAAUGGUGAAAUCCCCGCGCUCAACGUGGGAACUACCUUUGAAACUGGCAAGCUGGAGUGUAUGAGAGGCUAGUGGAAUUCCAGGUGUAGGAGUGAAAUCCGUAGAUAUCUGGAGGAACAUCAGUGGCGAAGGCGGCUAUCUGGCACAUAACUGACGCUGAGGAGCGAAAGCGUGGGUAGCAAACAGGAUUAGAUACCCUAGUAGUC